RNAcentral lists this ribosomal RNA (1361 nucleotides) under Lysinibacillus fusiformis. RNAcentral describes it as "23S rRNA. Bacterial LSU". It matches the Rfam family "Bacterial large subunit ribosomal RNA", at positions 296 to 1655 of the family's 2925-position model. Lineage: Bacteria; Bacillati; Bacillota; Bacilli; Caryophanales; Bacillaceae. RNAcentral also lists the same sequence under 1 other name. The record is from RNAcentral.
UGUAGGACACUCAAUACGGAGUUACAAAAGAGCGAGUUAGAUGAAGCGACUUGGAAAGGUCCGCCAGAGCAGGUAAAAGCCCUGUAGUCGAAAGUUCGUUCCCUCCUGAGUGGAUCCUGAGUACGGCGGAACACGUGAAAUUCCGUCGGAAUCCGGGAGGACCAUCUCCCAAGGCUAAAUACUACCUAGUGACCGAUAGUGAACCAGUACCGUGAGGGAAAGGUGAAAAGCACCCCGGAAGGGGAGUGAAAGAGAUCCUGAAACCGUGUGCCUACAAGUAGUUAGAGCCCGUUAAUGGGUGAUAGCGUGCCUUUUGUAGAAUGAACCGGCGAGUUACGAUUACGUGCGAGGUUAAGCUUUAGAAGGCGGAGCCGCAGCGAAAGCGAGUCUGAAUAGGGCGAAAUAGUACGUGGUCGUAGACCCGAAACCAGGUGAUCUACCCAUGUCCAGGGUGAAGGUAAGGUAACACUUACUGGAGGCCCGAACCCACGCACGUUGAAAAGUGCGGGGAUGAGGUGUGGGUAGCGGAGAAAUUCCAAUCGAACUUGGAGAUAGCUGGUUCUCUCCGAAAUAGCUUUAGGGCUAGCCUCGUGAUGAGAAUACUGGAGGUAGAGCACUGUUUGGACUAGGGGGCCAUCCCGGUUUACCGAAUUCAGACAAACUCCGAAUGCCAGAUAUUUAUACACGGGAGUCAGACUGCGAGUGAUAAGAUCCGUAGUCAAAAGGGAAACAGCCCAGACCACCAGCUAAGGUCCCAAAGUAAUCGUUAAGUGGAAAAGGAUGUGGCGUUGCACAGACAACCAGGAUGUUGGCUUAGAAGCAGCCAUCAUUUAAAGAGUGCGUAAUAGCUCACUGGUCGAGUGACGCUGCGCCGAAAAUGUAUCGGGGCUAAACGAUUCACCGAAGCUGUGGAUUGACAUCUACGAUGUCAGUGGUAGGAGAGCGUUCUAAGUGCGUUGAAGUCAGACCGGAAGGACUGGUGGAGCGCUUAGAAGUGAGAAUGCCGGUAUGAGUAGCGAAAGACGGGUGAGAAUCCCGUCCACCGUAUGACUAAGGUUUCCUGAGGAAGGCUCGUCCGCUCAGGGUUAGUCGGGACCUAAGCCGAGGCCGAUAGGCGUAGGCGAUGGACAACAGGUUGAUAUUCCUGUACCACCUCCUCACCGUUUGAGAAAUGGGGGGACGCAGUAGGAUAGGGUAAGCGCGCUGUUGGUUAUGCGCGUCCAAGCAGUAAGGCGUGUGUGUAGGCAAAUCCGCACACUGUAACGUUGAGCUGUGAUGGCGAGUCCGUAUGGACGAAGUUCCUGAUUUCACACUGCCAAGAAAAGCCUCUAUCGAGGUGAGAGGUGCCCGUACCGCAAACC